RNAcentral lists this long non-coding RNA (17989 nucleotides) under Gossypium barbadense (sea-island cotton). Its description in RNAcentral is "long non-coding RNA (GBAR_LNC017235)". The record is from RNAcentral. Lineage: Eukaryota; Viridiplantae; Streptophyta; Magnoliopsida; Malvales; Malvaceae.
GUGUUUUGGCAUGAAAAGGAUGAAAUUGAUAGUUUAUGUACUACUUCUAACCCAAAAAAAAAUUUAAGUACCUAAGUAGGAAAAGUUGUGUAGUUUUAGAAGUGAUUUUGCAUUUAAACCUUAAACUAAAGAGCUUUUUGUUUAUUUUAUGCAUUCCGAACAAAAUGACAUUGUUUGGAUUCAAAAUAUUUCAAGUACCCCAUGAUCUCACAAUCCCAUAUAUUGUCUUCAUGUUGGAAUAUAAAGUAUAAUUUCUGUAAUACCCAAUUUUAAGCCCGGGCACAAAUAAAUAAACAUAAAAAACAGUCCAUUUUACAAAUAACCUAAAUUUAAAUGACCCAAUACCUAGCCCACUGACCUAAACCCUAGCCCAACUAUAGUGUGGCCCUCAGCAAAAACAAUACAGCAGAAACCCUAAGCAGUGACAGCAAACUGGCGCCGUAGUAACCACCCCCUGCAGCAACCGCCCCAACGUCGCCCCUGCACGUUGCGCACGUCGCCCCUCACCCACCAUGCACGUUCUUCCUGUAAACAAACCACGAACAGCAUUAGAAUGACUGAAAAUAUAGCAAAAAUGAAAAAGAUUAUUAUUUUUGCUUUCUCUGUAAAGAUUCGGCUAUAAAAAGCCAAAUGAUUUUUGUAAAAGGGUUACGAAAUUGGAUCCAAAAAAACUAUUGAAAAGAGAUUAGAGAGUAUUUUUUAAAGGUGGUUCAUCUUUUUUCCUUUCAUUUUUUCUUCGUACAUUUUCCUUUUUUUCCGUUUUAUUUUUUAUGAUAUUUUUACUUUUAAAAAAGAAAGAAACCCGUGAUACUUACUUGCUGCCGUUGAGAUCCUCUCCGUCGCAGUGAAGGACCGGAGUAGCGUCGGAGGCCGUAGUUUGGCCCAAUUGUUGGCGGUUUAGGGGAUGUGUUUUGAAAACCUUAGUAGAGAAAGCUAAGGUUGAUCUCUUUGUUUUUGAAGAAAAUGAAAUGGAAUGUCCUAUUAAAAGAAUUUUUUUGGUUUUAAUACUGUAGGCAAAACGGCACUGUAUAAGCCAGGUUUACCCGAUAAACCGUGUGACCCGAUCCAAAGCCCGAUCAGAUCACGUGUUUUAAACAUUAAUGGGAUGUUUAUGUUUUUAAUACUUUUCAUUUUUCCAUCAUUUCAAAACCAUGGUUUUUGUUUUCAAAUUUUUCCAUGAAAUGUUGAAAUUGUUUCAUUUUAAUCCAAUGCUGUGCAGCGUUUUGAAAGCGGGAUUAGUUUCCCUUUUUGGCCCUUCAUGUUACGCACAUUUUGCAAAUUAGUCCUCUAUUUUAAUUUGAUUUUGUUUUUUUUUCUUUUCAACUUUGUUUUGAUUAUAAUUUAAUUCGUUGUAUUUGUUUUACUAAUUAAGUUAAGUAUUAGUUUGUUAAUAUUAUUAUUGUUAUUAAGAUACUGUUAUUAUUGUUAUUGUAUUAUAUAUCACUAUUAUUUUUAAUAUUAUUGAUUAUUGUUAUGUUUAUUUAUAUUUUCACUUAUUUUUCAAGCAUAUAUAUAUAUAUCAUUUUACUACAUAUUACUUUAUUUUAGAAUUACUUAGUAUAUAAUUUUAUUUCAAGGUGUUUUAUGUAUUAAUUAUUUUAAAAUUAUUUUCAUAUAAUAUUUAUUUAAAUUUCUAUUGUCUAUUAAAUCGUUUUAUUAAACAUUUUUUAAACAUAUUUGUAUAUAUAUUUUUUAAAUGUUUGUUUUUAUUGAAACAUGAAAAUCAUCUUAUUUCGUAAAUUUUCAAAAAAUUUGGUAUUCAUGAUUCUCGAGAAGGAUUGUGUCCUAACUUAUUGGGCUUCAAUUCUAUUCGAUGAAUUUAGAUAGUCAAGUAUUUAUUUUGCAAUAAAAUUGUACAAAUUUCAAAUAAAAGCUUAUUCUCGGGAAUCCAAAAAUGUUGGGUCUUAACUCACUGGACAUGACAUUUUGUCAUCUCGAAAUAAGAAUUUCUAAGAAAAUAAAGGCAAUAUUCGGUAUUUGGAAUUUUGAGAAAUCGUUCCCUAACUUACUGGGUUUCGAUUUUUUUCAUUUGACCUAAAUAACCGAAUAUCCUUCUUAGGUUUAAAAGCAUGAGUGUUAAAAGUCAAAAGACAAACUUAAUUUUGAAGAUUAAAAAUGUUGCGCCCUAACUCACUGGGUGUGACGUUUUAAUUCUUUGAAAUAAGAAUGUUUUAUUAUUUUAAUUCAUUUAAGUUAAAAAGUUUUCUUUUAAAAUCUUUUUAAAUUUUCGACACCAAGACAUUAAACAAUCAAUUCGAUACCGAUUUUGGGCGUUACGAGGGUGCUAACCCUUCCUCGUACGUAACUGACUCCCAAACCUAUUUUUUUCAAAUUUCGCAGACCAGAAUCGUUUUUAAGGUGAUCUGAUCACACCUUAAUAAAUGAUCGAUGGCGACUCCAUUUCUGUUUUUAAAGUCAAUUCCCGUUUUCAAAAAAAUGUUUUCGAUAGCUUGGCGACUCCACUGGGGAUUAUAGAAAGUUUAGCCAUGAAUUGAUUAUUUUUUGUCUUUUUUGUUAAAAAUCAAAAAGUUGUUUUAAAUUGUGAUUUCCCCUUUGCAUUCAUUGGUUUUUAUCAUCAUAUGCUUGCUUGAUUGACCUAAGUCUGUUAGCUUAUUUGCAUUUUGCAUUUCUAAGUGGGAGUGAGAAGCUAGUCCUUCGUGAGGUUUUCACCUCCAUAUAGGAUAGUGGAUCGCUUUCGGGAUACAUCAGUACCUAUGCCUCCGUGAGAUCUACAUCUCCGUAUAGUCAUAGGGAAAUGUAUUCCCCUGAACUGAACUUGGUCCAUAUGAGCCUAUAAUGAGUGAGGAUCGAGGAAUCUGCUGGUUCAGGUACCUAUGCUCUAGAAGCCGAACCGCAUAUAGUGAACCUUAAGAACUCACCGUAGGUAGAAUUACUCUUAACCUUAGUAGACAUCUAAUUAGGAGUUUUUACUAUUUCUUGGUUGUAUUAUAUUUAAUUGAUACUGAAUUUUUGUGUUUUACUCUGAUUGCAUGGCAUUACAAUUACAUGGAAUUUUAUUAUAAAAAGGCGUUGGUUCGUAUUCAGUUGCUAGAUAGAAAUUUUAUCAUGAGAAAUGGGUUUCUUGAUAGAGUGGAGGAUAAUGCGGUUAUUUGAGCUUGGGCUGAGAUCACACAGUGCGAAAAAGGUGAUAGUUUGGCCGAGGGAUACGUAUCAGAAUUAUGGGACUUCACCCGUGUUAGCGUAACCCAGAACAACUUACAGGAGUUGAAGGAAAUUUGGGAGCAGUGGAAUAAUGAGGUUAGACAGUUAUUCUAUUCAAAUUAUGGGGAUUUGCCUUAUUUACUUGAUAUGAAGGUAGAUAAGCGUCUGUUUCGAGCUCUUGCCCAGUUUUGGAAUCCGGCCUAUAGUUGCUUCACAUUCGGGAAAGUUGAUUUGGUGCCUACAAUAGAAGAAUACAUGGCUUUACUUCGGUGUUUGAGGAUUCAAGUAGACAGAAUCUACUCGAAAAUGGUAAAUGUACCAACCUUUUUGAGGAAGCUGAUGAAUAUAACGGGAUGAAUGAGCAGUGGGUUAUAGCUCGGAUCAAGUAAAAGGGGGAUAGCAGGUGUAUUCCUUGGAAAAAUUUGAAGGACCUUGUAAUGGCCCAAAUUUGAGGUUAUCGGAACAGUGGUUUCGGAACCACAAAUCUGAUGAGAAAAAUUUUAUUUUUCUUAUAUUUUUAUGGUCUACAAUUUCACAAAAUGAUUUUUUGAAAAUUUUGUUCGAAAAUUUCGACGUUUGGGCACUCAAUUUAGUCAAAAGGACUAAAUUGUAAAAAGUGAAAAAGUUGAGUUCUACAUGUUAGAGGUGUCCAAUUGUUAUGAAACUUUAAAUUGGAGGUCCUUAUAUGGUAAUUAUACCAUUGGUAACUUGGUAGACAAAAAUGGACAUGAGAUAAGUGAAAUAGAAAAUUUUAAAGUUAGGGGCAAUUUGGUAAUCUAGUAAUUAAAAUGAAUUAAAAGGGAAAAAGAUGGCAAAAAUCAUCAUCUUCUUCAUAUGAACGAAAUCAGCAAGGGGGGAAGCCAUAGUUAGGGUUUUCAAGCUUCCAAGCUUCAUAGUAAGUGAUCUCAAGCCCCGUUUUUAAUGUUCUUUACGUUUUUGAUAUCCCGGUAGCUUAAUUUAGCUUAUUCUAGCAAUAAUUUAACCUAGGGUUUAUAUUUGGAAAAAUACCCAUAGGUGAAAAGUGUUUAUUUUGAUGUUUUAUGAUAGAAUAUGAAGCUAGAAAUUAUGUUAAACAACUUUUGCUAAGCGAUUUUAAGUGAAAACGAGUAAAACGACAUAAUCGGUAAAAAUACCUAAUGUUCAUAAGUACAUGUUAGAGUGGGAAUUUGAUGUUUCCAUAGAAGGGAAAAAUGUUCAGAAUGUUAUAAAACAUAAGAAUAAGAGAUGAAGUUUAAUUUCCGAGCCUUGGGGAAAAAAUGUAAUUAUGUAAAAGUUUAGGGGCAAAAUUGUAAUUUUGAAAAAGUUAGAGUCGAGGGCUGUUUUGAUGAAUGUGAUUAUUAAAUAAGUUAAAUUUACUAUUUUAGAUCAAGAAGUACGAAACUCGAGGUUAGACAAAGGGAAGAAUAAAGUUGAAGACUAAGUUGGUGAAUUUGGCUAUAAUUGGUACCGAGGUAAGUUUACGGUAAAUAAAUGCAAUAUUUCAAUAUUUAUUAUUAAUGCUGUUAAUUUCCAGCAAUUAUGAAUUUAUUUUAUGAAUUUAUUUGAUGAUGAUCCAAGCAUGAAAUGAUAGAGAAUUAAAAUUUAAAAGUCCCGUUGAUACAUAAGGAUGGUACUGGAUACGAAUGUCAUGACAUUUGGGUAAAGAGAUCCCAUGUAAGACCAUGUCUGGGACAUGGCAUUGGCAUCCUUAAGAUCAUGAGAGGUCCCCUGUAAGACCAUGUCUGAGACAUGGCAUGGGCACUGAGACGAGAGGUCCCAUGUAAGACCAUGUUUGGGACAUGGCGUUGGCACCGAGAUGAGAGGUCCCCUAUAAGACCAUGUCUGGGACAUGGCAUGGGCACCAUCACGAGAACAUCCCAUGUAAGACCAUGUCUGGGACAUGGCUUUAGCAUGUUAUUAUCAGAAGAGACCCGAGUAUCCUUAUUAUUCCAAUGUAGCUCAACGGGCUUGUAAACGAAUCAUGUUCAUGAAAGUUCAGUUUAAAGCAUAAAUGGCAAGCUCAGGUAAGUUGUAAGACUUAAGAACUUAUUAUACUAUCAAUUGAUGUUCAACGAUGCAGCAAGGAUUGAGUAAGUUAUGCACACAAGUAUUCUAAGUAAACAAGUAAGAGAACUAGUAUGAGAUUAACUAAAGAGUAAACUAGAGAUAUAGACAUUGAGUUUAAUUAUUUAAGUUAAAUAUUGUUAUUUAUUUGCUAGUAAACUUACUAAGCUUUAUGCUUACUUCUUUUAUUUCUCUUUCUCUUAUAGUAUUGCAAAGCUACUUCAAGGAUCCUAAAGAAGUCGGAGAUCGUCCAUACUAUCAACUACAACUGCUCGGUAUUUUAUAUCGAAACACGUUUGAGUUAUGGCAUGUAUAGGGAUUUAGUUAUUUUGUAUGUUUGUAAUGAUGAUUUUGCUAAUGAGUGAUGUGUAAGUAUUUGAUGAUGUAUGGUUAUUAAAAUGAUUAAGGAUGAAGGUGUUUGUUGUUAUGAAAGAUUAGGAGAUAAAUUAUGCAUGGAAAUCAUGAAAGGAUAAAAUUUUGCAAAGAAACAGAAUUCAGGCAGCACAGUGACGUGAAUUUGAAAAAUCUCCCAAGAUAGUAUAAAAUGAAUUAGAGGGUGAAUGAUAUAUGGAAUUAAAGCUUGUUGAGUCUAUUUUCAUGGAAAAAUAACGGUGUAGAAAAAGGAAAUUUAUAUUUUAAGAUAUGUGAAUUUUAGUAAGAUAGGGUCAGAACUGUUUUUGGAGUCCCCUGUUCUGAGUUUAGAAAAUAAUUACAAAUUGUACAAAAAUGGUUAUGAGUUGAAAUUUACAUGCUUAGAUUUCUUAAUGAGUCUAUUUUCUGUAGAAACAAGUAAUAACUUCAUAUGAAAAUCCUACAGUGAGAAAACUUAUUUUUAGUGACUAGAGGUCAGGGCAGUCAGGUGGUGAAACAGGGGAGACUUUAACUAAUAAACUGUACUAAUUUGCUGAACUAAAAAUUCUAAAAAUUUUAUGGUGAGUAGAUAUAUGAGUCUAGUUUCAGGGAAAAUUUACGGAAUUAAAUUUCGAGUUCUGUAGCUCAAGUUAUAAUUAAUUUAGUAACUGCUGCGCGAUUGGACAGAUUUGCUGCGAAUAAUGAAAUAAAUUUUCAAACCUAGUUUUUAUGCUCCGAAUUGGUAAGAUAAGCUAAGUAAUGCCUCGUGCUCGACUCCGGAAACGGUCUCGGGUAAGGGGUGUUACAGACCUCAUUCUAACGCACCCAGAUGUGAAGAAGAAGGUAGAUAUCUUUGCUUUAAGUAUAUAUGGUUUGGUUGUGUUCCUUAAGAUUUUGGGACAUGUGGACGAGGCGGUCACUGACUUAUUUGAUCGGCUUGAUAAGAGAGUUACACUAAUCCCAGUAUUUUUGGCAGAAACCUUCAGGUCACUGAAUGCAUGCCAGAGAGCUAGAGAGGGUAGAUUCGUUGGAUGUGCGCAGCUCCUACUUGCAUGGUUCCACAAUCACUUUUGGAAGGUUGAUAAAGUUUCGUAUCGGGUCUUCCCUAAAAGUUAUUCACCAUCGAAGGAGAUAGUGACUACACCAAGGACGGAUGACAUCUCAGAAGAGAAAUGGAUGGCAAUUUUUCAGAAUUUGUAAGAGGAGGAUAUCGAGUGAAGAGCUCCGUGGUUGCUUCCAAAUGAGGUCCUAUAUCGGUGUGGGGAUUUUGACUGGGUUCCUUUGCUUGGAAUUUGGGGAGCUGUUGGUUAUGCCCCAUUGCUAGUGCUAAGGCAAUACAGGACAAGGCAGUUUGUGCUCGCAACUCAGGGACUGGCCGAGUGUGAAUUCUCGUAUAAGGGUGAUGGUUACAAAAAGAAGGUUCGUGAGAUGGCCAAUACAUGGAAUCAAACUCACCGAAUGAAGGGAUUAGCUAUGGGUCUAAUGAAAACUUUCGAGUAUAGCGAAUGGUGGGUUAAGAGGAUCAACGAUAACGUCCCUGGGCCAAGUCAGGAAAAUAGUCAAUCGAUAGAGGAACACUUGCGGGUUGUCCCUUCUGAGCUGGAAAUCAUAAAGCAGGACUUUGAAAGAAGAAAUGCAGAAUUAGAGAAGAAAAUAGAGCAAAUGGAGGAAGAACAGAUGAAUUUGAGACUGGAUGUGGAUGUUCAGAGGCUUGAAGCUGAUAAACUAAAGAAGGGGAAGAAUAAGGCCGAAGAAGAACUAGAUAGCUUGAAGACGAAUUACAAGAAACUGCAUCUAUCAAUGAGAACUACCGGGCUUGGAAAAACUUCAAAGCAGUGGCGUGAAGAGAUUCGAGAAGAAAGAAACAAGUUAGACUCGUGGGAAAGAAAAUUUCAAGAGGUUCAAACACGAAGUGAAGCAUUAGAAAAGAGCUUGUCAGAGAGCCAAAAGGAAAAAGGCGAACUAAAAGAUAGAGUGGUUGAGUUAGAAGGGUCUCUUUGUCAACAUAGAACUCGAAAUUUUGUAGUAGAGCUAAAGGCAAGUCUAAGCAAGAUUGAAGAGAUGAAAAGUAAAAUAGAAGGGUUAGAAGCAGCGUUGUGAAAUUGUGAGGUUCGGAUUGAGAAUCUAGAGGCAAAGGAAGGUCGUCAGAAUGAGCAACUUCAUUAUUUCCAAAAUCAAGUUAGAAACAUGGAUCAUGUUAUGGGAGAAGCUGUGGUUCAGAUUCGAGAGGUAGCAGAUCACCUACAAGCUUUGGCAGAACAGGCCGAUACAUUGAGCGUGAAGUUUGAAUUAGAGUCAGACCGGGGACAAGAAUUGGCCUCGUUACUUAAGAAGAUUAAGGUCUUGGGUAUUAGGGCAAAGCCUUAUUUGUAGCCCAUUCUAUGUAAAGAGAUUUAUUUUCUAAUAAAGUUUUCUAAAAGUAAUUGAAAUUAGAAUUGACGCCUUUUUGCAUUCAUUUUCAUACAUCGCAUCAUAUGCAUUAAAAACUAUUAAAAGGUUCUAAUUAAUCAAAAUCAUUCCUCAGUUAACCUGGAAGCUAACCAGCCAACCCAACACCGUUACGGUACACGAGCGAAAUAAAAAAGUAUGGACCAAAGAUUAAAAAAACUCGAACAGUUCCAAAAAGAAAUGCAGGAUCAACUUCAGCAGCAAAUACAAGAGCAGCUCGAUAACAUCCAGUAGAAUAUGAUGGACAAAAUGAUGGAAUCUUAAGGGAGCAUGAUGACACAGUUAACGUGACUGUUGACUGAAGGAAAUGAUAAGGGAAAGAGCCCUAUGGAUAAUGUCGAACAGGAAUGUGAUGACGGACCCCUAUAUCCUCCAGGCUUUGCUCCUCUGCAUGCGCAGCCCCAAGCUGAAGUAUACCCAUGCAAAUCUUCUGUUACAAUUAGGCCUCAGCAGUUUCAGGUUGAUGCUUCGAGGUCAAUAAAUUACCAAGCCGGAUCGGGCUCUAUCCCUGAGAAUAAUCCUGUCAAUCCUGUUAUCCCCGAUUUCAAUGAGGCGAUUGAAAAAGAAAAAGUGAAAGAAGAAUUGCCAAAGUAAUUUGAGGAAAGGUGGAAGUGGGUUGAAGAGAAGUUCAAGGUAAUGGAAAGUACUGAGAGAUAUGGUAGGAUUGAUGCUAAGGAUUUUAGUUUGGUUCCAGACUUGGUGCUCCCUUACAAGUUCAAGAUGCCAGAGUUCGAGAAGUAUAAUGGGACCAGUUGCCCUGAAGCCCACAUCACCAUGUUUUGUAGGUGAAUGACUGGAUAUGUUAGUAAUGACCAACUUUUGAUACACUGCUUUUAGGAUAGCCUCACAGGGGCAGCAUCUAAAUGGUAUAAUCAAUUGAGUCGUGCUAGGAUUAGUUCCUGAAGGGAUUUGGUACAGGCUUUUAUGAAGCAAUACAGUCAUGUGUCAGAAAUGGUUCCCGAUAGAAUUACCUUGCAAAACAUAGAGAAGAAGUCGAUUGAAGGUUUCAGGCAGUACACUCAGAGAUGUAGGAAGGUUGCAGUUCAGGUCCAACCACCGCUCAUUGAAAGAGAAAUGACAAUGCUCUUUAUAAAUACACUGAAAGCCUUAUUCAUCACACAUAUGUUAGGACGUGCCACAAAAAGCUUUUCUCACAUAGUCAUGAGUGGUGAGAUGAUUGAAAGUGCUAUAAGGAGUGGGAAGAUUGAUGUUGGAGAGAAUAACAGAAGGCAAUCCUCAAAGAAAAAAGAAAGUGAGGUAAACAACGUGAAUAUAUAUAGCAAAUCGAUUACGGUGAAUCAGCCCAGAAAGGUAGUGGCUAAUCAACAGGGUUCAUCAAAACAGGAAUCUGGUACGAGGCCAAGUACUGAGAGGCCCCAAUUCACACCAAUUCCAAUGUUAUAUAAGGAGUUGUAUCAGAAUUUAUUCAACGCACACGUUGUUGCCCCUUUUUUACUUGACCCCUUUACAGCCUCCGUAUCCCAAAUGGUAUGAUGCGAAUGCACAAUGCGAUUACCAUGCAAGAAUUAUGGGACAUUCCAUAGAACAUUGUACAGCUUUUAAAAAGCUUGUUGAAAAGCUCAUCAGUAUGGGCGUUGUCAAGGUAAAUGAUGCAUCUGGUACAGGAAAUCUGUUACCCAAUCACACUGAUGCUAGGGUGAACAUGAUGAGUGAAAAUAUGGGGAGAAGGGUCAAGGAGAGCAUUGCUGAGGUAAAAAUCCCUUUAAAGUGGGUUUGGAAAAAAAUGGCGGGAAGAGGUUAAUUGUCUCGGAUUCAGAGGGAGGUGGUGAGACCCAAAAUCAUUGUGAGUUCUAUCAUGAGGUGAGACACGAAAUUUAGAGAUGUAAAGAAUUCAAAGCUCUGGUCCAGAGCAUGAUGGAUAAUAGAGAAGUGGAGUUUUUCGAAGAAGUGGAGGAAAAAGAAAGUAUAUGUGCAUCGGAGUUAAUGACGAGGGUUCUGAAAGUUAAUCAUCUUGUGAUUAUCAUCUCGCGCCCUAAGGUUAAUGAGGCUAGGGCACAGGUGAAACCGAAGAUUGUAAUUCAGAAGCCUAUAAAUUUUUCGUAUAAGGAUAUUAAAAAGGUCCCCUAGAAUUAUGAUUGCAAUAUAAAAAUCUCGGGAAAGGAAGCUUUGGUUAGUAUUGCAAAAGAAAGCCAAGAGACAAGUUCUUAUAUGCGUAGUGAGAAACACUACGAUUUGAUAAAUGCCCAAGCAGAAUUGGUGGAAGGGAAAAUUUUUACGACAGAACAAAAGAAGGAGAGUACAGUUGAAUCUAGGCCAUUGAUUAAUGAGCCAAUAAAGGAAUAAGAAGCCACUGAAUUCUUGAAAUUUUUGAAACACAGUGAGUAUAGUGUUGUAGAGCAGCUACAUAAGCAACCAGCUCGUAUAUCUAUGUUAGCGUUGCUCAUGAGUUUAGAGGUACAUCGAAAUACGCUGAUGAAGGUAUUGAACGAAACAUAUGUGGCUAAUGAUAUUUCUGUCAAAAAAUUGGAUCGGUUGGUCAGCAAUAUAAGCGCCGGUAAUUUUAUUUUCUUCAAUGAUGACGAAAUACAAUCUGGAGGUAUGGGGUCCACUAAAGCUCUGCACAUUACUACUCGGUGCAAAGGAUACAUGCUGCCUAGAGUUUUGAUUGAUAAUGGAUCCACAUUAAAUGUAUUGCUCUUAUCUACUCUCAAUAGGCUACCUGUAGAUAGCUCACAUAUAAAAACGUGUCAAAAUGUAGUAAGGGCAUUCGAUAGAACAGAAAAGAAGGUUAUGGGGAAAAUUGAGAUACCAUUACUGAUUGGCCCAAAUACUUAUGAAGUAGAUUUCAUUGUAAUGGAUAUCAAGCCUUCUCAUAACUGUUUGUUGGGGAGAUCUUGGAUACACUCGGCAGGGGUUGUACCUUCAUCGCUGCAUCAGAAGCUAAAGUUAUUGUCAAAGGGAUCGUUGGUGACAAUAAAUACCGAGGAGGGUAUUAUCGCGUCAAUAACCAAUAAUGUAACAUACGUGGAGACUAAUGAGGAGGCGGUGGAAUGUUCUUUUCGAUCUCUAGAGUUCAUGAAUGCAACAUUUAUUGCUGAGGGGAAUAGAAUCUCAGUGCCAAAGAUAUCCAAGACUACAAAAAUGGGUAUUCAAUUAAUGGCGGGAAGAUGAGUUGUAUCAGGAAGAGGAUUGGGACGACAUCUGGAGGGAGGAGUUGAGGCACUAGUGAUGAAAGAUAAGUUUGAUCGUUUUGGUCUAGGCUAUAGACCAGACAUAAAACAAAGGAGAAGGGAAAUAGAAAAAAGACGUAAAAGGAGAAAGGCACGCUUGAGUGGAAAUGAAGUUAAGUGGGAGCCUAUGGUUUUUCCUCACAUAUCCAUGACCUUUGUAUCAAGGGGGUUCAUUUUUUGUGAACAAAGAAUGCUUAAAGAGGAAGGUCUUGAAGAAAUGUUAGGAGAGGUUCAUAUCAAUGCCAUAGACACAAUUGAAAGAAAGGUAUUGCUAGAGAUUCGCCCUUACGAACCUGAAGUGAGCUGAAAAUUAGACUGCGGAAGAAAUUCCUGUAGUUUUUAGAGUUUGUUUAGAGUAAUUGUUUUAAACAUCCUUGUUGCUUUUGACUUAAAAAUAUAAAUUUCUUUAUAUGCAUAUGUUUAACGUUAUGAUUCUAAUAAAGUAAACUUUUUGUAUUCAUUUUUGAGCCAAUAGUCUUUUAUUCUUUUUGAGUAAUUAUUCUUUUAUUCUUUUUUUUCCACAUCAUUCAUAAUCAUAUUUAUUCAUAAAUUCAUAUAUUAUUUGUAUAUUCUUUGGCACCUACCAUAGGUUCCCAAAUAUCAAUGAUAUGAAUGACACUGCUUCAGACUCAGAAUCCCCUUUUGAGCAAGACAUGUGUUUAUAGGGAUCACAUGAUUUUGAAGAUGACUUAGACUGUGGUAUAUCUCCGGACUUAUUGAGAAUGGUAGAACAAGAGGAUAAGCAAAUCAUACCUCACAAGGAAUCAUUGGAGAUUGUGAGCCUGGAGGAGGGAAAUGAGGUAAAGAUCGGAACUGACAUUACCGCCAGGACAAGGCGAGACCACAUCGAAUUACUCCAUGAAUUCAAAUAUGUCUUUGCAUGGUCAUACCAGGAUAUGCCCGGGUUAAGCACUGAUAUUGUGGUACACCGUCUUCCUAUAAAAGAAGAUUGCAAGCCAGUUUAGCAGAAGCUCAGGAGAAUGAGGCCGAUAUUGUGCUAAAGAUAAAAGAAGUCAAAAAAUAGUUUGAUGCUGGGUUCUUGCAAGAAGUCAAAUAUUCAGAAUGGGUAGCCAACGUUGUCCCUGUCUCUAAAAAAGAUGGGAAUGUGCGAAUGUGUGUGGAUUACAGGGAUUUGAACAAGGCUAGUCCAAAAGUUAAUUUUCUGUUGCCUCACAUUGAUACUUUGGUGGAUAAUACGGUAGACUAUUCACUGUUUUCUUUCAUGGACGACUUUUCUAGAUACAAUCAAAUAAAGAUGCAUCUGAAAGACAUGAGAAAGACCACAUUCAUCACUUUGUAGGGAACGUUCUGUUAUAAAGUGAUCCUCUUUGGAUUGAAGAAUGCAGGAGCAACUUAUCAAAGAGCCAUGGUGACUUUGUUUCAUGACAUGAUGCACAAGGAGAUUGAGGUUUAUGUUGAUGAUAUGAUUGCAAAAUCCAGAACGGAAGAGAAGCAUGUUCAAGUUCUGAGGAAAUUGUUUUUGAGACUAAGAAAUUUCCAACUCAAGCUUAAUCCAACAAAGUGCACCUUUGGAGCCAGAUCAGGGAAGUUGCUGGGCUUCAUAGUUAGUGGAAGAAGAAUUGAGGUUAACCCAGACAAAGUCAGGGCAAUAUGAAAUUUACCUCCACCACACACUCAAAAAGAAGUACGAGGUUUUCUGGGAAGAUUGAAUUACAUUGCUCGGUUUAUUUCACAACUAACUGAGAAAUGUGACCCCAUAUUCCGUCUUCUGAAGAAGCAUAAUCCGGGUGUAUGGGAUGAAGAAUGUCAGAAGGCUUUUGACGAAAUAAAACAGUACUUGGCUAAUACUCCAAUGCUAUCACCGCCUAGUCCGGAUAGUCUAUUAAUACUGUAUUUAACAAUGUUUGACAAUUCCAUGGGGUGCGUGUUAGGUUAGCAUGAUGAGACCGGGCAAAAAGAAAGGGCAAUAUACAUCUCAGCAAGAAAUUCACUGAUUAUGAAGCGAGGUACUCGUCUAUCGAGAAGUUAUGUUGUGCCCUGGUUUGGACAACUCGGAGAUUACGGUAAUAUAUGUUGUAUCAUACGACUUGGUUGAUUUCAAAGUUAGACCCCUUAAAGUAUAUGAUGGACUCGACUACUUUGAAUGGAAGGAUGGCCAGAUGGCAGAUCUUGCUUUCUGAAUUUGACAUAAUGUAUGUGAGUCAAAAGGCCGUGAAGGGGAGCGCAAUAGCUGACUUUUUAGCUAGUAGAGCCUUGGAGGAUUAUGAGCCUUUGAACUUUGAUUUUCCAAAUAAGGAUUUGAUGUAUGUGGCAACCACUGAAGAAAAUCCCCAAAUGGAUCAUGUGUGGAAGCUAAGUUUUGAUGGAGCCUCGAAUGCUAUGGGUAACAGAACUGGGGCAGUCCUGGUGUUUUCAAGUGGAGAUUAUUAUCCUAUUGCUAGCAAAUUAGAUUUUGACUGUACGAAUAAUAUAGCAGAAUAUGAAGCAUGCAUUAUAGGCAUUCGUGCAGCCAUCGAACGUAAAAUCAAAGUGCUAAAAGUGUAUGGGGAUUCCGCAUUGGUGAUAUACCAACUCAAAGGAGAAUGGGAGACAAGAGACCCUAAACUGAUCAGUUAUCGAAAGAUAGUUCUUGGAUUGAUAGACAAGUUUGAUGACAUCACUUUCUGUUAUCUUCCGCGAGAUGAGAACCAAAUGGCUGAUGCGUUGGCCACCCUAGCCUCUAUGAUCCGAGUGAAAAAGUUAGAGGACAUGAAGCCUAUUCACAUAAGUAUUUCUAAAACCCCAGCCCAUUGCUAUAAUAUUGAGGAAGAGAAAAAAGAUGAACAUCUCUGGUAUCUGAAUAUAUUGUAAUAUGUAAAAAAUUGUGAGUAUCCAAAUCAGGCAACGGAGAAUGAUAAGAGGGCAUUGAGAAGAAUGGCCAUUGACUAUGUCCUAGAUGGAGAGGUCCUAUACCAAAAAGGGAAGGAUCAGAUACUCCUAAGAUGUGUGGAUGUAGUGGAAGCUAGAAAAAUUCAAGAGGAGGUCCAUGAGGCUAUCUGCGGCAUGCAUAAAAUCGGUUUCACAAUGGCCAGGCAGAUUAUGAGAUUUGGGUAUUACUGGUCCAAUAUGGAAAGAGAUUGCAUCAAUUAUACUAAGAAAUGCCAUAAAUGCCAAAUUUAUGGCGAUAAAAUGCAUGAACCUCCUUUACCUCUUCAUGUUAUGACUUCUCCAUGGCCUUUCUUUAUGUAGGGUAUGGAUGUCAUUGGGCCAAUAUCGCCAAAAGGCUUCUAAUGAGCAUCACUUCAUCUUUGUGGUUAUUGACUACUUUACCAAAUAGGUGGAAGCUGCUUCAUAUGCAAAUGUCAUGAAGUCAGCAGUUAGCAGAUUCUUGAAAAAGGAGAUCAUAUGUCGAUAUGGAAUGCCUGAGAGGAUCAUAUCCGAUAAUGCGUUGAAUUUGAACAAUAGUGCGAUAGUGGAGGUCUGCAGUCAAUUCAAGAUUAGACAUCAUAACUCGUCGCCAUAUUGCCUAAAAAUGAAUAGCGCAGUAGAAGCAGCCAAUAAGAAUAUCAAGAAAAUUGUGGGAAAGAUGACUGGGACUUACAAAGACUGGCAUGAGAAUUUACCAUUCGCCCUCUUUGCUUAUAGAAUGUCUGUCAGGACUUCGACCGGGGCAAGACCUUUCUCUCUGGUUUAUGGGAUGGAAGCAGUUUUGCCUAUUGAGGUAGAAAUUCCUUCUCUUCGGGUAUUGGCUGAGUUGAAAUUAGAUGAGGCAGAAUGGGUUCAAUCUCGUUAUGAUCAGUUGAACUUAAUAGAAGGAAAAAGGCUAAAGGCUAUUCAGCACGGUCAGAUGUAUCAAAGGCGAAUGAUGCAAGCCUACAAUAAAAAGGUUCGUCCCAGAGAAUUCCACGAGGGAGAGCUAGUUUUAAAAAAGAUCCUUCCUAUGCAAAGGGAUUUUAGAGGAAAAUGGAUGCCAAAUUGGGAAGGUCCAUAUGUUGUAAAGAAGGCCUUUUCAGGGGGAGCUUUGAUCUUGAGUGAGAUGGAUGGCAAAGAUUUUCCUAACUCUAUAAACUCAGAUUCGGUUAAAAAGAACUUUUCUUAAAAAAAUAAAAGGAAAAAAAGAAAAGAAAGAAAAGGAAGAGGCCAAGGUGAAAACCCACAAAUGGCACUUUGAGACCAAAGGGGAUUUGAGUUGAAAACACGAAAAAGGGCGGCUCAAAUGUUGAUCAAGUGAGGCAUCCGGUGAUUUUACUAUGAUUGAAUCAGUGGAAAAGGGGACGCGACAUCUUGGGGCAUCAACAGAGUACUGUUGGUCUUCUAGGCACAUGUCAAACUCAGAAUGGUCUUCUAAAAGUUUGCAUAGAGAAGUUCAAGCUGCGAUAUCUAGGGCGCCUAGCCUUCCCACUAUUUAUAUUAAAUUUGCUGUCUUGGAAUACUUUAUUCUUUUUCAAGAUACGUGUUUCUAAUCAAUUUUUUCUUUUAUUCUUAUUAUUCUUGAUGAUUUAUUUAUCUCGUAUUUUAUUUCCAAUGAAUUUCAUCUUGUCCAUUUCGAUACUCUUGUUCAAGCAUUUUCCAUUGAAACAAUGAUUAAUGGGCUAAUAAUACUUUUACAAAGGAAGUUUUGCAUAUUACUCUAGAAGUUUCUAAUAACAUAGGGACCUGAAACAGGGCCAUUGUUUAGAAUACACCAGGUGCAAGGGUUGAAAUGUCUAAAAAGGAAAAUUUUAAAGUAAGAUUAUCCUUUCGGAUUUUGUUGUCAAAACACUGACGGAACAAAACGGCAAAAUGGGGUGUUGGUGACAAAGCUUCAUUAAACAAAUAAGCAAUGAUCACCUUACGAUAAGAAGAGGUUUCCUCGGAGAAGGAAAUCCUUCAUUUGUGCAUAGGCAUUUGGUAUGACGCCCUGAUAAUGGUAUAAAGGACCAAAGUGCUUCACAUUGCGAUAAGAGACGAUUGAGAAAAGUCCUUUUUUUACGCUUGGGUUACAGUGAAAAGAUGAUAUAAAUUUUGUGUCCCAGUGGAUUAAACUUUGAAGUUUAUAGUGGGGGCAGUCUAAUUAAGUGUUUCUUCGGAGAUGUUAGCCAAGCAAGAAGUCGUUGUAGCACGUCAGUGAUGAAAUCUUAAUAAACUUUGAGUAAUGACAACCUAAGCGGGAUCAUUCUCGGAAAAAAUAAUAUUUUACAUUCAUUCAAAUAUCAUUCAUACACGUCUAGUUAAGAGCAUUUGAUUUAUUCUGAUCAUGACAUCCUAAUCACUAGGCAUAAGUAGGUUCAUAAAUUGAAUCAUACAGGUCAUGUUCCCAAGAGAACAAACUGGUGAAAUCUUAGCCUUAUCUCCCUGAGCAGUAGUGGAGUAAGUUGAAUAAAGUAGAUCUUGUCUUCCUAUAUUGGCAGCGAAGUAGAUCGAAGAUACUAGCCUUGUCUCCCUGAGCAGCAGUGGAGUAGGUUGAAAAUAGCAGAUCUUACCUUCUUGUACUGGCAGCGAAGCAUAUCGAAGACACCAGUCUUAUCGCCUUGACGUUGCAAAUUAAAGCUAAAGAUAGCGAAUCUUAUCUCCCUGGCGUUAAGACUUGGAUUAGCUGAAGUGGAGCGGAUUGAAGCUGUGGGCAGCGAAUCCUAUCUCUUUGGCAUUACAGUGGAAUAGAUUGAAGCCGCAACAGCAAAUCUUACUUCCUUGGCGGUGUAGGGGAACAGAUUAAAGUCACAACGACGAAUCUUGUUUCCCCGACAUUGUAGUUAAAUAGAUUGAAGCCACAACGUCAAAUUUUACUUCCCUGGUGGUGUAGGGGAAUAGAUUGAAGCUACGACGAUGAAUCUUAUUUCCCCGACAUUGCAGUUAAAUAAAUUGAAGCCACAAUGGCGAAUCUUACUUCCCUGGUGGUGUAAGGGAACAGAUUGAAGCUACGACGGUGAAUCUUGUUUCCCCGACAUUGUAGUUAAAUAGAUUGAAGUCACAACGGUGAAUCUUACUUCCCUGGUGGUGUAGUGGAACAGAUUGAAGCUACGACGGCGAAUCUUGUUUCCCUCACAUUGCAGUUAAACAGAUUGAAGAUGGUAAGUCUUAUCUCCCUGAAGUUGCAGUGGAGCAGAUUAAAGCCAAUGAUCCUAUCUCUCUGAAGUUGCAGUGGAGUGAGUUAAAACCUUAGAUCUUAUCUCUCUGAAGUUGCAGUAGAGCAGAUCACAUCCAAUCCUAUCUCCCUGAAGUUGCAGUGGAGCUGAUUAAAAUGAUGAAUCCUAUACCUCUGAAGUUGCAGUAGGUCGGAUUAAAUCCCCAUGACAAGUCUUAUUUCCCUGAAGUUGCAGUGGAGCAGACUAAAGUCACAAAUCUCAUCAUCUUGAAAUUACAACAAAGUAGAUUAAAGCUACAAGUCGUAUCUCCUUGAAGUUGCUGUAGAGCAGACUGAAGAUGGUGAAUCUUAUCCUCUUGAAGUUGCAUUGGGGCAGAUUGAAGCCAAGUCUCAUCUCCCUGAAGUUACAGUGGAGUAGAUUGAAGCACUAAUUCCUAUACUUCUGAAGACGCAGUAGGUUGGAAUGAGGCUACUUGAAGAAGAAGAGCACCAAGGUCUAGCACAACCGGGCAAAAUUAGCCAUUUUAAAGUAUUUGCUCUGUUCCCGUUACACGACAACGAGCAAAGAGUGGCAGCUGUAAUACCAAAUUUUAAGCCCGGGCCCAAAUAAAUAAACAUAAAAAAUAGUCCAUUUUACAAAUAACCUAAAUCCAAAUGACCCAAUACCUAGCCCACUAACCUAAACCCUAUCCCAACUACAGUGUGGCCCUCAACAAAAACAAUACAGCAGAAACCCUAAGCAGUGGCAGCAAACUGGCGCCGCAGUAACCACCCCUGCAACAACCGCCCC